AAAAUUGCAUGGAGCCACCGCUGCGAUCCUAACCGUCAAAAAAUACAAUCCUACGGCAGUCAGUGCAGAUGGCCUGGAUAGUCUACGAUACAAUCCUACGCAGUCAUGCCAUACACACUUGCCGGCGAAUCACGAAUCCCGUCCCAAGUUCAGUACUCGCAUAGCCUUCUUCCCACCGAGCAGCCCCUCACGAACCCUAGCUUGCUAUAAACCCUACUCCUUCCCUUCCCCGAUGGAUCCGCAGCAGCCGGAGCCUGUCAGCUAUCUGUGCGGAGAUUGCGGAGCUGAGAACACACUCAAGACAGGGGAUGUGAUCCAGUGCCGUGAAUGUGGUUACCGCAUCCUGUACAAGAAGUGCACCCGUCGGAUUGUUCAAUAUGAAGCUCGCUGAAGACAAGGAACAAACAUCAUUCACUGUUAAGUGUGUGCCCUGAGACAAAGCUACUACAAUGGAGAAAUGUAUUAGGCAGUACUCGCUCAUAGGUAGUAAUCUUUCCAUUGGACUUUGGCUUGAAGUGGUAAAAACUUGUCAAACCUGUAUUGAGAUUUUAGACAUUUGAGGAUUGAGAUUAUGCAUCUUUGAAAGCUAGAUUUUAAAAAAUGGUUAUUAUUGUUGUCGCCAGGAAUAAGGUGCCCUGUUGGUUGCACGCAGGCUCUGGCUGUUAUUUGCUGCCUGUAUCGUUAUUACUACCUCUGUAACUAUUUUAAGACGUUUUUGUAGUUAAAAUUGAACUGUAAAAAUGUCUUAUAUUUAGUUAUGAAGGUAGUACCUUAAUUCUCCUGCCAUGCUCUUUAAUUGUGCUAAACUGAGCUUUGUAAUGUUUUGUGCAAUUAAGGAACCUCUUUCCAUUACGUCAUUGUCAUAUUUGGGGGGUAUGCCUGGCGCAUAGUAGAGAAUAUGUUUCA
This 906-nucleotide ribosomal RNA is filed under the name Triticum aestivum (bread wheat). RNAcentral's name for it is "partial small subunit ribosomal RNA". Lineage: Eukaryota; Viridiplantae; Streptophyta; Magnoliopsida; Poales; Poaceae. The record is from RNAcentral.